Molecule: ribosomal RNA, 513 nt
Filed under: uncultured bacterium
Lineage: Bacteria
Description: partial 16S ribosomal RNA
Rfam family: Bacterial small subunit ribosomal RNA
Source: RNAcentral
GACGAACGCUGGCGGCAUGCCUAAUACAUGCAAGUCGAGCGAACAGAUGAAGUGCUUGCACUUCUGACGUUAGCGGCGAACGGGUGAGUAACACGUAAGGAAUCUACCUAUAAGCGGGGGAUAACAUUCGGAAACGGGUGCUAAUACCGCAUAAUAUCUUCUUCCGCAUGGAAGAAGAUUGAAAGACGGCUCUGCUGUCACUUAUAGAUGACCUUGCGGUGCAUUAGUUAGUUGGUGGGGUAAUGGCCUACCAAGACUAUGAUGCAUAGCCGACCUGAGAGGGUGAUCGGCCACAGUGGGACUGAGACACGGCCCAAACUCCUACGGGAGGCAGCAGUAGGGAAUCUUCCGCAAUGGGCGAAAGCCUGACGGAGCAAUGCCGCGUGAGUGAAGAAGGCCUUCGGGUCGUAAAACUCUGUUAUAAGAGAAGAACAAAUUGUAGAGUAACUGCUACAGUCUUGACGGUAUCUUAUCAGAAAGCCACGGCUAACUACGUGCCAGCCGCCGCAGUAA